This 249-nucleotide long non-coding RNA is filed under the name Phoenix dactylifera (date palm). RNAcentral's name for it is "long non-coding RNA (PDAC_LNC017656)". Lineage: Eukaryota; Viridiplantae; Streptophyta; Magnoliopsida; Arecales; Arecaceae. The record is from RNAcentral.
GGAUGAGGAGAGAAGUUCUAGGAGGAGGAGGAGUUCACAAUAUGAUGGCUCUGAUGAGGAUGAUGAAGGCUUAGGGAGAGAAAAGGAAAGGUCGGAGAGCGAGGGCGACUCUUCUUUGGAUAGGGAUGAGGAGAGAAGUUCUAGGAGGAGGAGGAGUUCACAAUAUGAUGGCUCUGAUGAGGAUGAUGAAGGCUCAAAGAGAGAGAAGGGAAGGACGAAGAGCGACAGCAGCAGCUCUUUGGAUAGAGG